RNAcentral lists this ribosomal RNA (3001 nucleotides) under Pneumocystis wakefieldiae. RNAcentral's name for it is "large subunit ribosomal RNA". It matches the Rfam family "Bacterial large subunit ribosomal RNA". The record is from RNAcentral. Lineage: Eukaryota; Fungi; Ascomycota; Pneumocystomycetes; Pneumocystales; Pneumocystaceae.
AAUAUGUGUAUAUUAUAAUUAAUUGAUAUAUAAUUAUUAGAUGUUAUUGUUUAUAAAGAAGUUAAUAAGGAUAACUAGCUAGUACAUGUGUGGAGGUAUAUAACCUAAUUCAUGAUUAUACAAAUGUUAUCAUGUGAAUCCAAGAAGGAAACUUUAUAGUUUUUAACGAAGUGAACUGAAACAUCUUAGUAACUUUAGGAAAAUAAAUCAACCGAGAUUUUGUAAGUAGCGGCGAGCUAAAGCAAAAAAGCCUAUACAGUUAUUUAUUAAUUAUUUAUCUAAUAAGGAAAUGAAUAUAAAUAAUAUUUAUUGAAUUAUUAGAAUCUUAUAAUAAAUAUUAUUCUAUAAGAUUUAAAUCCAUUUUAAAAAGUUGGAAACCUUUGGUAUUUAUUACAGUAGAAGCGAAAGAUGGUGAAAGCCCAUGAAGUAAUGGAGGUAACUGUUAAGUGAGUAAAAUGAGGGCAAUCUUAUUUGAAAAUAGGGGAACUAUCCUCUAAGGCUAAAUAUGGUGUACUAAGCGAUAGUGAAGAGUACCGUGAGGGAAAGUUGAAAAGAAUAUAAUAAUGUGGAAUGUGAAUAUAUCUACAUUGUUAGUAAAGUGAAAUAGAUCUUGAAUUAUUAACUUUAUAAGCAGCCGAAGGAAUGAAUAGAAUUCUGACGGCGUACCUUUUGCAUAAUGGGUCAGUAAGUUAGUAUUAAAUGUAAGUAGAGAUACCUAAAGAAAUUGAUUCUAUAAGGAGUAAUCAAUAUUUAGUACUAGACCCGAAACCUAGUGAUCUUGCCAUGAUCAGAUGAAAGAUCGAACCGGUGUGCGUCGCAAAGUACUCGGAUGAAUUGUGGUAAGUAGUGAAAUACAAAUCGGACUAGGAUAUAGCUGGUUUUCUGCGAAAUCUAUUUAGGUAGAUAGCUUAAUAAGGAUGUUUAUUAGUGGGUAUAGCACUGAAUAUCUAAUAUUAUUUGAAGGGAGUAUGAAAGUACUUACUUUGGAUAUUUAAUCUCAGAAUAACUAAUAGAUGAAAGAUGAUUAAGUUGUCAGACUUUUUGCGAUAAGGUGGGAAGUCAAGAGGGAAACAGCCCAGAAUAAUUUAUAAAGUUCUAAAAUUGUUACUGAGUGAAUUAAAAGAAGUUUUACUUCAUAGACAGUCAAGAAGUGGGCUUGGAAACAGCCAUCUUAUAAUAAACACGUAAAAGUGUAAUGAUCGAAAGGAGUAUAGCGCUUAAAAUAUACGGAUCUAAGUAACAUACUGAAUGAUUAUUAUGUUAUUAUUAACAAUGUUCAAUAUAUAUUAUUAUAUUAGUGUAAUAACUAUUGUAGUAAUGGGAUAGAAAGUGGUAAAUAAUGUAAUGUAUUGUUAUGUUAUAUAUAACAUGUAUUAUAAUUAUUGAAAGUUAAUGAUAAGAUGGGUAGCAGAACAUUUAGUAAAUAGAUGAAGAACAGUAUUUUAUUGUUUGGAUAUAACUAAAGAGAGAAUGCUGACAUGAGUAACGUUAAAGUAGGUGUGAAUCCUACUCGCUGAAAACGGAAGGUUUUUAUGGUUAAGCUUAACUACCAUAAGUUAUCGCGGUCUCUAACUGUAUCUCUAACGAGUAAGGGAUGAGAGAAAUAUAAGUGAGGUUGUUGAUGAUUAUAAUAAUUAUUAUGGUCAAAUAAUAAUCCAGGAAAAGUUAUAUUUUUGAACCGUACUAAAACCGACACAGGUCUGUGGAUAUUAGAGUAUUAAAGCGUAUAAGAGAAUUAUUGCGAAGGAACUCGGCAAAAUAAUUUCGUAAUUUCGAGACAAGAAGUACCUUUGAAAGGGGGUGUCACUUAAAAAUGUUGUACAACUGUUUACUUAAAACACAGUACUUUGCAAAGAUGAAAGUCUUAGUAUAAAGUAUGAGAUCUGCCCGAUGCUAGGGGAUGAAAGGUUUGUUUUGGAUGUCAAAAAUCUAAGAUGGACACAAGUUCUAGUGAAUGGCGGCCUUAACUAUAAGGGUCCUAAGGUAGCGAAAUUCCUUGGCCGUUAAAUGCGGUCCCGCAUGAAUGAUUUAAUGAUACAACAACUGUCUCCGCAAUAAACUUAGUGAAAUUGGAAUAGCCGUGCAGAUACGGUUUAUGUGUAGAAAGACGGGAAGACCCUAUGCAGCUUUACUGUAGUUAAUUAUUGUUAUUAAUUCUUCAUUUUGUAGUAAUAGAAGGUAGUCGAUGAGACGGUAAUGAAAGACCUUUAAAUGGAUUUGCGAUAACUUACUGAAUGAAUCAGGACAUUGAUUAACAGACAGUUUAUGUGGGGCGCAUGUCUCAAAAAAAGUAUCUGAGAUGUCCGAAGGUAAAGUCAAAUUGGAUGGUAACCAAUCAAGUAUGUUUAUCAUUGUCCUUGUCCUAGGCGAGAUAGAUAAUGAAUUCUUGGAAAAAGUAUAAUGGCAUAACUUUGCUUAACAGUGAGAUUGACAAAUCGAUCUGACACGUCAGUGGGGCAUAAUGAUCCUCGUAUUCAAAAUGGAAUGGUACGAGAACAACGAAUCAAAGCUACGCUAGGGAUAACAGGGUUAUUUCGUGUGAGAGAUCCUAUUGACCACGAAGUUUGCCACCUCGAUGUCGACUCAACCUAUCCUCCAAGAGCAAAAGAUUGGAAGGGUUUGGCUGUUCGCCAAUUAAAAGGUUACGUGAGUUGGGUUAAAAACGUUGUGAAACAGUUUGGUUCCUAUCUUCUAUACAUAGUAAAAGUUAAGGAAGAGCACAUUUUUAGUACGCAAGGAUCAAAAUGUUUUAAUCUCUGGUUUAAUUGUUGUAAAUCCGGAAUUAUUUUAAGGAGUUGUGAAUUAAGAAAUUCAUGGAUUGCAUGGCAAUCAAGCUAAAUUGAAAAAGAAUAAAAUUUGAAAGCAUCUUAAAAUUGAAGUCUUUCUUCUAAAACUUUAUUAUUGUCGUUAUAGAUUAUAACGUGAAUAGGCUUUAGCUGUAAGAAUAGUAAUAUUUGAAGGUGUAAAGUACUAAUUUGUAAUGAUACUGUAAUAUACUCUU